GCCCCGGUAGCUCAGUUGGUCAGAGCUGCUGUUUCGUAAUCAGCGGGUCGGCGGUUCGAAUCCGUCCCGGGGCU
RNAcentral lists this transfer RNA (74 nucleotides) under Kitasatospora griseola. It matches the Rfam family "tRNA". Rfam says of the family: Transfer RNA (tRNA) molecules are approximately 80 nucleotides in length. Their secondary structure includes four short double-helical elements and three loops (D, anti-codon, and T loops). The record is from Rfam by way of RNAcentral. Lineage: Bacteria; Bacillati; Actinomycetota; Actinomycetes; Kitasatosporales; Streptomycetaceae.